UCCACAAUUCUCUUAGUAUCCUAAAGGUCACAAGAGAAGAGAUACCCAUACGUUACGAACAACCCUAUGAGCAAUCAUUAAGCAUCUAAGGCAAAGGGGCUAAAAGCUCACCUAUAGAGUAAAAAUCCUUCACAAGCUCCAAAAGGGAGCUAGAACCCUUCCAAUCCAACCUAGAGGAAAGUUCUAAUCCAAGAGAUCAAGCUCCAAAAGCCCUAAAUCCAAAAUGCCCAAAAUCAACCCUAAGUUUCCAAUCUAGGGUUUCAUCUCAAAUCCAUCAUCAAAACAAGAAAUCUAGAGGAAAGAACAAGUUGCUUACCUCUUAG
Molecule: long non-coding RNA, 323 nt
Filed under: Ananas comosus (pineapple)
Lineage: Eukaryota; Viridiplantae; Streptophyta; Magnoliopsida; Poales; Bromeliaceae
Description: long non-coding RNA (ACOM_LNC024156)
Source: RNAcentral